GCCUGGAUACGGCCGGACACC
RNAcentral lists this microRNA (21 nucleotides) under Sus scrofa (pig). RNAcentral describes it as "ssc-miR-9821-5p". The record is from miRBase by way of RNAcentral. Lineage: Eukaryota; Metazoa; Chordata; Mammalia; Artiodactyla; Suidae.